GAUGAACGCUGGCGGCGUGCCUAAUACAUGCAAGUCGAGCGAACGGACGAGAAUCUUGCUUCUCUGAUGUUAGCAGCGGACGGGUGAGUAACACGUGGAUAACCUACCUAUAAGACUGGGAUAACUUCGGGAAACCGGAGCUAAUACCGGAUAAUAUUUUGAACCGCAUGGUUCAAAAGUGAAAGACGGUCUUGCUGUCACUUAUAGAUGGAUCCGCGCUGCAUUAGCUAGUUGGUAAGGUAACGGCUUACCAAGGCAACGAUGCAUAGCCGACCUGAGAGGGUGAUCGGCCACACUGGAACUGAGGCACGGUCCAGACUCCUACGGGAGGCAGCAGUAGGGAAUCUUCCGCAAUGGGCGAAAGCCUGACGGAGCAACGCCGCGUGAGUGAUGAAGGUCUUCGGAUCGUAAAACUCUGUUAUUAGGGAAGAACAGAUGUGUAAGUAACUGUGCACAUCUUGACGGUACCUAAUCAGAAAGCCACGGCUAACUACGUG
RNAcentral lists this ribosomal RNA (497 nucleotides) under uncultured bacterium. RNAcentral's name for it is "partial 16S ribosomal RNA". It matches the Rfam family "Bacterial small subunit ribosomal RNA", at positions 28 to 507 of the family's 1533-position model. The record is from RNAcentral.